RNAcentral lists this ribosomal RNA (397 nucleotides) under Cladycnis insignis. RNAcentral's name for it is "partial 16S ribosomal RNA". Lineage: Eukaryota; Metazoa; Arthropoda; Arachnida; Araneae; Pisauridae. The record is from RNAcentral.
AAAAACAUUUCUAUUAGAAAUCAUUAAUAGUAAAAUCUGCUCAAUGAUAAAUUAAAUAGCCGCAUUUGUGCUAAGGUAGCAUAAUCAUUUGUCUUUUAAUUAAAGACUAGUAUAAAAGAUUCAACUUUUAAAUUUAUAUUUAAUAUUUAUAUAUUAAAACUAUCUUAAAUGUAAAAAGACAUUUAUUCAAAAGAAAGACGAUAAGACCCUAUCGAACUUCACUUUAGUUUAACUGGGGUAGUUAAUUAAUUAUUACUUUAAUAUUAAUAAAAUUAAAACUUAGACCUAAUAAAAUUAAUUCAAUAAUCAAGUUACCGUAGGGAUAACAGCGUAAUAAAAUUUUUAAGAUCUUAUUUAAAAUGAAAAUUGCGACCUCGAUGUUGAUUUAAUUACCUAA